RNAcentral lists this ribosomal RNA (363 nucleotides) under Triticum aestivum (bread wheat). RNAcentral's name for it is "partial small subunit ribosomal RNA". Lineage: Eukaryota; Viridiplantae; Streptophyta; Magnoliopsida; Poales; Poaceae. The record is from RNAcentral.
UGUCGAACAAGUGAUGUCGACACCGAUGACUUCCCGAUUAAGAUAGGACUGCAUCAGGGGUCAGCUUUGAGCCCUUAUCUUUUUGCAUUGGUGAUGGAUGAGGUCACAAGGGGUAUACAAGGAGAUAUCCCAUGGUGUAUGCUCUUUGCGGAUGAUGUGGUGCUAGUUGGCGAUAGUCGGAUGGGGGUAAAUAGGAAGUUAGAGUUAUGGAGACAAACCUUGGAAUCGAAAGGGUUUAGGCUUAGUAGAACUAAAACCGAGUACAUGAUGUGCGGUUUUAGUACUACUAGCUAUGAGGAGGAGGAGGUUAGCCUUGAUGGCCAGGUGGUACCUCGGAAGGACACCUUUCGGUAUUUGGGGUAA